RNAcentral lists this ribosomal RNA (469 nucleotides) under uncultured bacterium. RNAcentral describes it as "SSU rRNA". It matches the Rfam family "Bacterial small subunit ribosomal RNA", at positions 26 to 518 of the family's 1533-position model. The record is from RNAcentral.
AGGACGAACGCUGGCGGCGUGCCUAACACAUGCAAGUCGAACGGAGCCCGCAAGGGUUCAGUGGCGAACGGGUGCGUAACACGUGAGGAACUUGUCCAUCGGCGGGGGAUAGCCGGCCCAACGGCCGGGUAAUACCGCGUACGCCGUCCGGAGCGCAUGCUCUGGCCGGGAAAGCAGCAAUGCACCGAUGGAGAGCCUCGCGGCCUAUCAGCUAGUUGGUGGGGUAAUGGCCUACCAAGGCGACGACGGGUAGCUGGUCUGAGAGGAUGACCAGCCACAUUGGGACUGAGACACGGCCCAGACUCCUACGGGAGGCAGCAGUGGGGAAUAUUGCGCAAUGGGCGAAAGCCUGACGCAGCGACGCCGCGUGUGGGAUGACGGCCUUCGGGUUGUAAACCACUGUCGCGAGGGACGAAGAUCUGACGGUACCUCGAAAGGAAGCACCGGCUAACUCUGUGCCAGCAGCCGC